RNAcentral lists this long non-coding RNA (8244 nucleotides) under Brassica napus (rape). RNAcentral's name for it is "long non-coding RNA (BNAP_LNC009797)". The record is from RNAcentral. Lineage: Eukaryota; Viridiplantae; Streptophyta; Magnoliopsida; Brassicales; Brassicaceae.
GGUGUCUUCCUCUUUGUUCUUCUCGCGGGUUACGUUCCUUUUGAGGAUUCAAACGUUGUUACCAUGUACCGGAAGAUCCAAGGGAGAGAUUACAAGUUCCCAAACUGGAUCUCGAAACCUGCUCGAUCCAUCAUCUACAAGUUGCUCGAUCCGAAUCCGGAAACGAGGAUGAGUAUCGAAGCUGUAACUGAAACCAAAUGGUUCAAGAAAUCCCUUGAAACCUCCGAGUUUAAAUCCAGUGUCUUGGAAUCGGAUGAUCGAUUGGGUAAAUUGACAAGUCAUACGAUCACAGCGUUUGAUUUGAUCUCGUUAUCUGCGGGAUUGGAUCUAUCGGGGCUGUUUGAGAGGAGGAAGAGGAAGGAGACCAGGUUUACUGCGACGGUUUCGGCGGAAGGAGUUGUGGAGAAGGCCAAGACGAUAGGGGAAAAGUUGGGGUUUAGAGUGGAGAAGAAGAAGGAGGCGAUGGCUUUGGGGUUGGGAAAAGGAAGAACGACGGUGAUGGUUGAGGCGGUGGAGCUGGUGGAAGGUUUGGUUGUGGCGGAGGUGAAGGUGGUGGAAGGUGAGGAGGAGGAAUCUUAUUGGUCGGAGCUUAUUGUAGAGUUUGAGGAGAUUGUGCUUUCAUGGCACAGUGACGUAUCUGUUAAAGUUGAAAGUGACUUAGCUUAACUUUGAAGAUUCAAUUUUGUAAAAGAAAUUUUAUGUAAAAUAUCAUAGAUUAGUUCAUUUUUAGAGUUAUCGAACCCUCAAAUUUUAAGAUUUUUUAGUUCUCCAUUCAAAUUUUCAAAUUCGAAGAUUUACUAGUCAAAACUACAAAACACUAUUUAAUUUUUAUUUUUAGUCUUAAUAAUUAUGUAACUUACAUAUAAUUUUACUAAUAUUGAUUUUAUAUCACUUUAAUCUUUAUAGUUAUAUUUCACUUAAAUAUUCAAAUAUAUACAUAUAUAUAUACAUAUUAUUAGUACAUUAAUUAUAUAGUUAUGUUAAAACUAAAUCAAAAUUAUUAAUAUAAAAUAACAUUAUGUAAGAUAAGAACAAUAUGUAUAUGUAAUUGAAUCAUUUUGUAACUUUUUCUUCUAGUUGAUAUACUUUCUCUUAAAAUUUAAAGAUUUGCUUGUUCGGUAAAACUAAAAUAUACAUAUAUGAGCUAUAAAUAUUGUGUUUUGAAUUGUUAGUGUGUAACUAUUAUUUAUUUACAAAAGUUUAGUACUUAUAAUUAUUAUUAGAUUAAAAUAUAAUAUAUAGAAAUAUUCAAAGAUAUACUUGAGAUGCAUUGUUGGAGUAAUCAACUUCAAAAAAUUUAUUUUGAAGAUUACUUGUUGUUGGAAACUUUUUUAGUUUAAAAAUAAAAUAAAAUAAAGAUUUGUAAAAUUUGACCUUAUUUUUAAUGGUAUAUAAGAAGAGGGGUUAAUGUAACUAGUAUCAACUUUUUAAUUAAUAUCUAAUCUAUUAAAACAGAGUCCUAUUUUUAUCUACCUAAGGAAAGUUCAUUUUAAAUUUUGGACUCUUUCGGUUUUCUUACUAGCCUACCUUAUAUAUUGGAUCUGUACAAAUUUGUUAUCGUAAUAACUAUAUACACGCUAGCUAAAUAAUAUAACCGGUUCACUUUAACUAAACCAACGUCUAAAAUACUGAAACCAUCCGAAAUUAACUGAUAUGUUAACCGGUUGACUUAAAUUAAACCAAACUCUAAUAUACUAAAACCAUCCGAACUUAGCCGAUAUAUCAUUUGCUAUUAUAAGAUCAAUAUAAUAACUCUAAUUGGACAUCAUGUUACAAUAUAUUAUCGUAACAGGUUCUCUUCAUCUCGCUACAUGCAAUAGAAAAUGUCAAAUUAUGAGUUAUUUGGUUCAUCUUUCACCAUACAGAACAUUCCAAUAGGUGAAGAAAUAAAUUUAAAACCACAAUACCACACUAUUAUCUGCAUACAAGCUACUCUCAUAUAGAGUUUUGAUCAUGUUCACCAUUUACAUUACAUAUGUUUAGUUUGAGCUAUUAAACCCAAAGAUUUAAUUAAACAUUUCCAUUCAUAUCAAUGGUCUAAUUCCAAUUUUAAAUAUAUUAGAUUAUUAUCUAUAAUAAAUCGUAGACUAAAAUAUUCUAAGCACAUCAAGAGGAGAAUUUAGCAAAUCUAAACUAACGUGUCUUGCAAACAAAAUCAUUUAUAUAUUAAUUGAGAAUCAUUUAAAAAAGUGUAACCUUAAUUUAUACUAAUUAAAAAGAGACUAUGCUUAGGUGUCACUUAAUUAAAAUGAUAACUUAGUUUAUGUGGCAGCUUAAGAAUCAAUUGAAAAAAAUAUUGGUCUAAAAUCCAAUUACUUGGAAAUAUUAUAUUAACCUAAAAUAUAAGAAACAUAUAUUCUUUCCUAAAAUAAAAGCUAUGAAAUUACCUAAUAUGAUUAACAUAUAUACGAAAAUUAAUGAUUAUUAAUAAUAAAGAUUUGAUAACAAUUUUUGCAUCAUUCUUCAUUUUUUUUUAUUUUAUAUUAUUAAAAAUUUAAAUAAUCACAUUAACCAUAAAAUAAAAAAAAAAUUAUAUUUUUUCAGAUAUGUUUUAUUUUGAAUUUUUUAAAACGACUUUAAAUUACAAAAAAAUAUUAAAAAUCCCUUUGAAAAUUUUGUGAUCAAUGACUUAAUUUUUUUUGUUAUAACAUGAUACAAAUGAUCAUAAAAUCGUAUAAAUGUGAAUUUUUAUUUAAUAGAUAUUCAUAUUAAAUAAUAUAUAUAUAUAUAUAUAUAUAAUAAUAUUAAUUUCUUUUAAAUUAAACUAUGUACCAUUUAAACAUACAUAAAUAUGUUAAUUUUGAAAUUUGCAUUGAAAGAGUAUUGGGACCUUAAUAUAUUAAUUUUGAAAUUUGCCUAGAACCAAUAUGAACCAUCAUCAUUUUCUUAAAUGGGCAUAGAACCAUUUUUAAUGAUUAACUAAAAGGAUCACGUACAUAGUAAAAUGUGUUUUUGUUUAAAAAUUAUUGCAUAUCCAAAAUCAAUAUGAACCAUCAUCAUCGUUUAUUUUUUUUUCACAAUAUAAAUAUAGGGUUGGACAAAAAAUUUGAAUCCAUAAAAAUCGAACCAAGGCCGAUCCAAAGAAUAAUACUGAACUUUAACAAAAAAUGGUUAGAUAUCUGAAUGGGUUCAAAAUAUUGGUAUCUAGAGAACAUGAACCGAACCCGAUCCAAACCUUAAGAUUUUAGGUAUCUGAAUAUGUCCGAACAAGAUUUAUAUACUUAAAUAUAUUUAUUAUUUUUAAAUUUAAUAUCUAAAAGAAUAUACAGAAUAUAUAAAACGUUUUUAAGUUGUCCAGAAAACUUGGAAAUAUAUACAAAUAGCUAUAAGUACAUGUUUAAAAUAACUAAACGAUACUUAUAAUACCUAAAAUACUUAAAAUAUCUAUUGAUUUCCAAACCAAAUAUUUAAGCUAAACCAAUUUUUAUGUUAAGUUUAAGUAUUUUGGCAUACAUUAUUCAAAUUUAUAUGUUAUAUAAUAUUUUUAUUUUUAGAUUUUGAAAACUUUAAAGUAUAUAUGAACUUUAAUUUUUGAAAAAAAUUAAAUAGGUUAUCCAAAGUCAAACUCAAACCAAACCCGCAAAAAUCCGAACCAAACUAAACCCUCAAGGAUCUGAAUGGAACCAAAUGGUACUUAAUGUCCAGCUCUAAUCAAAUGUAAAAAAAGUUAUUGAUAACAAAAUGUAUAUUGUUUAUAAUAUUUAAUUACAAUAUAUUUUAAAAAAAAAAUCAUUCCGCGCAAGGCGCGGAGUAUCAUCUAGUUAUUAUUAAAUGCUAAGACGUGUAACACUUGUGCGGACUUAUAUAUAUAUAUACCAAACAAACUUGAUUUUUAAAAAUAGCUUAUUUUAUUUAAAUCUUAGUUAUUAAAUUAAAUAAAAUAUUAAAUUGAUAUUAGAAAUUAUCAAAGUUCAAUAUCUAUAUUAACAAUUGUUGAAUUAAAUUCCCUUUUUUAUUUCAUAAAAUUUUAUGUUUAUAUAUGUCGGUGUAAAUGAUACAUGAAAUUCUACAUUAACACACAAAAUAUCUGGCACAACAUUAGAGACAUUUCCAUUACAUCUGCUCCAAUGAAACAAAAGUUGACGACCACCAUCAAGAUCGUCCUCACAAUGAUGAACUUUCAUCAUUAAGCUAUGACACCCAAGAAAAUAUCACUUUGGAGUGGUUUCAACAGAAUUAAUCUUGUAAAACUUAACCCCAUUUCUCAUAUAGAAAAUAUAAAACUUUAUAUAAACUAAAUACAAUUUCAACCCACAUUUCUAGCUAUAACCAAAAAAAAAAUCUAACAAGCACAACAUACAUCAUUCGAUAUAUUUAAUCCAUGAAUAGAUUUUAUUGGAUCAAAAUAUUCUUUGCUAAUAUCCAAACCAUCAUUAAACAAUUUUUAUUAGAAAUCUUAAUGGUGUUGAAGGCAUUAGAAACAUUCACAACUCCUAAAACAACAACAAAAUAAAAACAACUAAUAAACAUUAUAUAUUGUCAACAAUUUAUAUCUUAGAAACUAUGAUAUAUAUAAAACUACAGAUUAAUACAUAUGUAUUCUCGCACACAAACAAACAAAGGAACACAUAAAACAGACGAUGCCCCAUUAGAUUUAAAGAAAUCAGAUAUUUGCUUAACUUACCGAGGCCACAACAUACAUGUUAAACGCAUACCACUGAAUAUUAAAACUUCAAAUCAAUCUCAUGCCAAAAAAUAACACAAUUUAAAAUUAAGCGCUCAAUAAAACAUAUUUUAUGUCAUGAAUAGUUAAUUCUAAAUUAAAUAUAUAUAUGCUAAAAUUGGUUUAAUACUAAUAAACCAUAUAUACCUAGAUAAGCCUAACUAUGAAAUUUUCGCUUAAAUUUUGUUAAUAUCCAUUAAUUAAUAUCCAUUAAUUAUCCUGAACAGAAUGACAAUAUACAUAAAGAUCGUUUAAGUUUACUAUUACUAAAAUAAAUAUAAGAACAUUAAUUAAUGAUAUUAUCGAUAGAAUUUUCUAAUAUCCAUUAAUUAUCCUAAAUAAUAGUUUGUGUCAAUAUUUCCUGAAAUAACUAAAAUAGUUUAUUAAAACAAAUGGAGAACAUGACAAAUCAGUCAUUUCUUAAAUAAUAGUGGUAGAAUUUGUUAUAUUCAUUAAUUAUCUCAAAUAUUUGUUCGGUAUCAUUAUAUCCUAAAUUCACUAAAAUUGUUUGUCAAAAGUAGACUCGGCCUAAAAUUAUGGAAAACAUGAUAAUUCAGUUAAAUUAUUUUUUAAAUAACAGUAUUGAUAUAUUCAGAUAAAAGAAACAAAAAACAUAAACUGGACAAAAUAAAAGACGUUUUAACCUAUACUAGGAGAUUGUCCCUCCGUGUUAUUGCUGACACCUCUGCUUCUUUCACCGAGGCCUUAGCAUCAUGGCGGUAGCUUCAGCCUCCUCAAACUUAUCCGGCCAAGUGUAGCUACUCUGGUGGAAACUAACAAGUGAGCUGUGGGAAUGUGACCCAUAUUGAUCCAUUGUUAACAUUACCAGGGCCGUUUUAGUCAUCAAGGACAAUCUCUUGUAACUGUUUUGGCAUGCUGUGAGACCUUUCAAACCAAAGAUACCACAAUAUAACAAUCAUCCCCCCCCCACAGUUCUCUAGCGGAGGUUCACCUGAGAAGACUUAUAACAUGAUCACAUUGAAGAGACUCUGAUGCUUAAUUGUGAUGUCUAUUUUGCACCACGACAAAACCGGAAACGAGAGAGCGAGUGUCCAAUACCAGUUGUACCUAAAAUGCAUAUGAUGACUAACAAUCUACAUCAUAGAUAACAUACAAAGAGAAGUCUUUUCACACUCUCGGCUCAUUGGAAAGGCAACAUGGAUAUCAAAACUGCAGCCAAAGAGAGAAUUCUGAAGAAAGAAAUUUUUUUUGCCAACAAAAAUUUAAACUAUUACGAACUAGUUAUCAACUAAGUCCAAACUAGUGUAAAUUUUCAACAUAGUACGCAACAGAAGGAGAACGUUGAGAAUCAUGCGAUAAUUUAUCCGCUAUUGUGUUUCUUGCUCUAGGAAUAUGUUGGAUUUAAAAGUGAGAGAAGAAUUUCUUACAUAGUUGAGUCUCCUCCAUUUGGGGUGCGAAUGCUGGCUAUUUUGUCGGUAUAUACACUAUCUUCACCAACUGAGAAUAUUCAGUAGCAAAUCUCACCUCCGAGAACUGUAGGGCCGUCAUGCACUCCAUGACCCAAAUAAAAGCUUCACAUUCUGCAUGUAAAGAUGUCUAACUGGGAAAUUCAUUGACCCAAUAAUCUUGUCAUUUGAAACUCUUGUGCACGAAAACCAUCCUUGUCAUGAAAACUUAUCUUGUGAACUCAGAUGAUCCAUCUACAUAACACCAUCACAUAUCUCCUUCUUGUUGUCCCGUUUGCGAGCAAUAUGUAUCAUCUAGAUUUUUUAACAUUGUUAAUUUGUGCUUUAGUUGACUGUUUUCUCUUUAUUUCUGCUAGACGCAAGAUCUCUUAUGGGUUUCCAUUUUUGUUUUUUAUAGUUCUAGUCAUUUCUAUUUUUCCAAAUGUACCAUAAAAUCCAUAGAAAAUAAUUGAAAUCAUGAUCUUUAGGAAGUUUCCAAAACAAAUAAUCCAUGUUCACGAAUAUCAAUGAUACUGGAAAAACUCAUGGAUUAGAUGAAAUUUGUGACAUCACCCAUAUUUGAAUUGUUGUGGACAUUCAAAUAAGAUGUGAUUAAUUGAUUUCUCAUCUGCUCCACAUAUACUGAAUUCAUCUUGACUUUAAAGCCUUAGUAAUUGGUAAAUAUCAUGAUAAUGCUUGCCAAACAAAAUGUUUAAAUUUUGGACAGAAUUGAAGCUUCCAAGUGUACACCAAAAAUGGUUUAGUUUUUGGACCAUAAUACUAUGUGUUUGUAUACAUAUCCAGGUACAAUUUUCUGUUUUAUAUCUUGAUUUCACUGUAUAAAACAGAAAAUUGUAGCCAUACUUUGAAUGAUUUGAAUGGAUGACAUUAUAUAAUACUUUGAAUGAUGUCAUCCAUAUGUAUCUAGUUUAGAAGUUCGACUCAUAGCCAUACUUUGAAUGAUUUUCACAUAUUUGUAUUUAUUACGACUUUGUAUUUUCUCAUCUCUUACAGGCUACGAACCAUUGUCCAUUGGUAAAGCUUUGUUUGAUUAUACAUACUUGAUAGAUGAGUUUGCAAGUAAAACUGCAAGAAGAGCUAUAUUUCAAAAAUAAUGUAAUAUUAUGUUUGUUUUUUGAUAUUGUUUGAUAUUAUUAUUUUAAGUUAUUUUUACAUUGAGUUGCUGGGGCCAAUUUUUUUUUUUGGACAACAGGGGCCAAUUUUUUUUCCCUCGCUUCUAGUCUUGUAAAUGUCAGGCACGGCCCUGACGUCAUGACACAAACGUAGUCUGAGUGUCCAAAAUCAGCUUUGGAAGUCCUUCAGUCUCUCACAAAGUACCUUCAAAGUAAUUUUAUUUAAACUAAAUGGCCGUAGCUCCAUCAUAUGAUUUGGCCUAACCUUUUUUAGAAAUCAAAUAAAUAUUAGUUAUAUUUAAUCUUUUAUCAAAUGAUUUCGAGUGUAGAAAAAUGUUAACUAUAACAACAACAUCUACUUCAAUGACUGACCACGAUUGUUGGAAAAAGGCUAUCAUGCCAUCCGAAUCUGCCGCGCGUCGCUACUUCCAGCAGCUAGCCUCCGCGCUAACCUUCUGCCACCGAGAAGGAAUCGCUCACCGCGACGUGAAGCCGCAGAAUCUCCUCCUCGAUAAGCAAGGAAACCUCAAGGUCUCCGACUUCGGUUUAUCGGCUCUCCCGGAGCACCGUAGCAGCACCGGAUUGCUCCAAACAUCGUGCGGCACACCGGCUUACACAGCUCCGGAGGUGAUCGCUCAGAAGUCAUACGACGGAGCUAAGGCGGAUUCGUGGUCGUGCGGUGUCUUCCUCUUUGUUCUUCUCGCGGGUUACGUUCCUUUUGAGGAUUCAAACGUUGUUACCAUGUACCGGAAGAUCCAAGGGAGAGAUUACAAGUUCCCAAACUGGAUCUCGAAACCUGCUCGAUCCAUCAUCUACAAGUUGCUCGAUCCGAAUCCGGAAACGAGGAUGAGUAUCGAAGCUGUAACUGAAACCAAAUGGUUCAAGAAAUCCCUUGAAACCUCCGAGUUUAAAUCCAGUGUCUUGGAAUCGGAUGAUCGAUUGGGUAAAUUGACAAGUCAUACGAUCACAGCGUUUGAUUUGAUCUCGUUAUCUGCGGGAUUGGAUCUAUCGGGGCUGUUUGAGAGGAGGAAGAGGAAGGAGA